This 445-nucleotide ribosomal RNA is filed under the name uncultured bacterium. RNAcentral describes it as "bacterial SSU rRNA". It matches the Rfam family "Bacterial small subunit ribosomal RNA", at positions 772 to 1205 of the family's 1533-position model. The record is from RNAcentral.
ACGCAAUAGAUACCCCCGGUAGUCCAUGCCGUAAACGUUAGGGAACGUAAGGUGUGGGUCGUCAUUCCACGAGAUCCGUGCCGCAGCUAAACGCAUUAAGUUCCCCGCCCUGGGGAGUACGGCCGCAAGGCUAAAAACUCAAAGGAAAUUGACGGGGGCCCGGGCCACAAGCGGCGGAGCAUGCGGAUUAAUUCGAUGCAACGCGAAGAACCUUACCAAGGCUUGACAUACACCGGAAUCACUCAGAGAUGGGUGCGUCUUCGGACUGGUGUACAGGUGGUACAUGGUUGUCGUCAGCUCGUGUCGUGAGAUGUUGGGUUAAGUCCCGCAACGAGCGCAACCCUCGUUCUAUGUUGCCAGCACGUCAUGGUGGGGACUCAUAGGAGACUGCCGGGGUCAACUCGGAGGAAGGUGGGGAUGACGUCAAAUCAUCAUGCCCCCUUAU